UACGGAGGGUGCGAGCGUUGUCCGGAAUCAUUGGGCGUAAAGGGCGCGUAGGUGGCCCGGUCAGUCCGUGGUGAAAGCGCGGGGCUCAACCCUGCGUCGGCCAUGGAUACUGCCGCGGCUCGAGCACUGUAGAGGCAGGCGGAAUUCCGGGUGUAGCGGGGGAAUGCGUAGAGAUCCGGAAGAACACCGGUGGCGAAGGCGGCCUGCUGGGCAGUUAGCUGACACUGAGGCGCGACAGCGUGGGGAGCAAACAGG
This 255-nucleotide ribosomal RNA is filed under the name uncultured bacterium. RNAcentral describes it as "partial 16S ribosomal RNA". It matches the Rfam family "Bacterial small subunit ribosomal RNA", at positions 524 to 776 of the family's 1533-position model. The record is from RNAcentral.